CGAUGAUGGUUCCGGACUAUUUCCGGCGAAGAGGGAAUGCUGUGAAAAUCAGCAACAGUACCCGCUGCUGUAAGCCUGUUUUUCUACCUGAAUCAACUGAUUGUCACUGCUUUACGAUAGCGGGAAGACGUUUGGGUAGAGGGCGAGUCAGAAGACCUGCCAACAUCCA
RNAcentral lists this non-coding RNA (169 nucleotides) under bovine gut metagenome. The record is from RNAcentral.